Molecule: ribosomal RNA, 253 nt
Filed under: uncultured bacterium
Lineage: Bacteria
Description: partial 16S ribosomal RNA
Rfam family: Bacterial small subunit ribosomal RNA
Source: RNAcentral
UACGUAGGGGGCAAGCGUUGUCCGGAUUUAUUGGGCGUAAAGAGCGUGUAGGCGGCCAUGCAGGUCAGCUGUGAAAACUCGAGGCUCAACCUCGAGACGUCGGUUGAAACCGUAUGGCUAGAGUCCGGAAGAGGAGAGUGGAAUUCCCGGUGUAGCGGUGAAAUGCGCAGAUAUCGGGAAGAACACCUAUGGCGAAGGCAGCUCUCUGGGACGGUACUGACGCUGAGACACGAAAGCGUGGGUAGCAAACAGG